Molecule: transfer RNA, 73 nt
Filed under: Methylibium petroleiphilum PM1
Lineage: Bacteria; Pseudomonadati; Pseudomonadota; Betaproteobacteria; Burkholderiales; Sphaerotilaceae
Rfam family: tRNA
About the family: Transfer RNA (tRNA) molecules are approximately 80 nucleotides in length. Their secondary structure includes four short double-helical elements and three loops (D, anti-codon, and T loops).
Source: Rfam by way of RNAcentral
GCGUCCGUAGCUCAAUGGAUAGAGUACUGCCCUCCGAAGGCAGGGGUUGCUGGUUCGAUCCCAGCCGGGCGCG